This 72-nucleotide transfer RNA is filed under the name Fukomys damarensis (Damara mole-rat). It matches the Rfam family "tRNA". Rfam says of the family: Transfer RNA (tRNA) molecules are approximately 80 nucleotides in length. Lineage: Eukaryota; Metazoa; Chordata; Mammalia; Rodentia; Bathyergidae. The record is from Rfam by way of RNAcentral.
GGGGAUGUAGCUCAGUAGUAGAGUGCUUGCCUAUCAUGCACGAAGCCCUGGGUUUGGUCCCUGUCAUCCUCU